RNAcentral lists this transfer RNA (67 nucleotides) under Tomostethus sp. 1 QHW-2022a. RNAcentral describes it as "tRNA-Cys". It matches the Rfam family "tRNA". From Rfam's summary of the family: Transfer RNA (tRNA) molecules are approximately 80 nucleotides in length. Their secondary structure includes four short double-helical elements and three loops (D, anti-codon, and T loops). The record is from RNAcentral. Lineage: Eukaryota; Metazoa; Arthropoda; Insecta; Hymenoptera; Tenthredinidae.
AGUUUUGUAGUUAAAAGAUAAUGUUAGAAUGCAAUUCUAAAGGUAUAAUUUAUAAUUAUUGAAACUU